UUACUUUGGCAGCAUGUAUACUAAAAUUGUUACAAUACGGAGAAGAUUAGCAUGUCCCCCACAAGUUAAAAAAAAAAAAAAAAGUUUGAAAAUACUUGU
Molecule: small nuclear RNA, 99 nt
Filed under: Salvator merianae (Argentine black and white tegu)
Lineage: Eukaryota; Metazoa; Chordata; Lepidosauria; Squamata; Teiidae
Source: RNAcentral